RNAcentral lists this ribosomal RNA (273 nucleotides) under Triticum aestivum (bread wheat). Its description in RNAcentral is "partial small subunit ribosomal RNA". The record is from RNAcentral. Lineage: Eukaryota; Viridiplantae; Streptophyta; Magnoliopsida; Poales; Poaceae.
AUGGCCUGGACGCUCGUCAACCUCGGCCACUUCGCGAUUACAUACCACUUCUUCCACUGGAAGAAGGGAACUCCAUUCGCUGAUGACCAGGGGAUGUAUAAUAGGUUGACUUGGUGGGAGCAAAUGGACAACGGCAAGCAGCUUACUCGCAACAGAAAAUUUCUUGUUGUGGUUCCUCAUGGCAGGAUGUAUGCACAAAGAUUAAUUCUGGCUAGUCAGAAAAACUACACUUAUUCAUUAAUUCUGCAAAGAACACUUGCUAGUAACAUCUAG